Molecule: RNA transcript, 915 nt
Organism: Peromyscus californicus insignis
Lineage: Eukaryota; Metazoa; Chordata; Mammalia; Rodentia; Cricetidae
Gene: Selenok
Gene name: selenoprotein K
Exons: 4
Source: RefSeq, a predicted model, not a curated record
CGGGAGGCGAGCUACGGAAGCUGCAGGGGGCUGGUCCGCCCAGUCGUUUGGAGGCGGGCGGCCGGAGGGAAGAUGGUUUACAUCUCGAAUGUUUCAAAACUCUGCUUCAGCAAGAUGUGAAAAAAAGAAGAGGCUAUGGAAGCUCAUCUGAUUCCAGAUAUGAUGAUGGAAGAGGGCCACCAGGAAACCCUCCACGAAGAAGAAUGGGUCGAAUCAGUCAUCUUCAAGGCCCCAGCCCUCCUCCAAUGGCUGGCGGAUGAGGAAGGUAAACGUCUGCUCUGCGGAGCAGACGACUAGACAUGCACAUGUGUAGAAGGAAACCAUCAAGAAGAGGUGAAGAGCGGCUUAUGCAGGACAAGAUGGUGUAUGUCUAAACAAGGACUGCUCUGUGUCCUCACAGAUAAAUGAGGUCAUGCUGGGAAUUCCCUCUGUAGGAUCUGGCCUGACUGACAUGCAGUUAGAUAAAUGUACAUGUUUGUCUCCUUAUCUUUUUUGUAUAGUUUACUAAAGUAUUAAUAUAGUUUUAAUAAGUAAAUAUUUCUAGGUUGUAAAACUUGACUCUUUGUCUUUAUAUGAUUAAACCCCAAGUCUCUGAUCUGGAAGAAAUAAAGGAAAUGUAUUUAGUUCUGGUUUUUUGUUUGUUUGGUUUGGGUUUUUGCUUUUUCAAAACAGCGUUUCUUUGUGUGUUGCCAGUCAUCCUGGAACUAGAUCUAUAGACAAGGCUGGCCUUGAACUCAGAGAUCUGCCUGCCUCUGCCUACCAACUGUUGGGAUUAAAUGUGUGUGCCGCUGCCACCUGGCUCCAAUGUAUUUAUCCCUGUUAAUGUUGCCUUUUUUCCAACUUCUGAAAUACUGCUCAUUGUUAUCUUGCUCUCAUUUAUAAAUAAACCACAAUAUAAUUAUUUCAGCAGUUAAA